AGAGUUUGAUCCUGGCUCAGAUUGAACGCUGGCGGCAUGCCUUACACAUGCAAGUCGAACGGUAACAGGUCUUCGGAUGCUGACGAGUGGCGAACGGGUGAGUAAUACAUCGGAACGUGCCCGAUCGUGGGGGAUAACGAAGCGAAAGCUUUGCUAAUACCGCAUAAGAUCUACGGAUGAAAGCAGGGGACCGCAAGGCCUUGCGCGAACGGAGCGGCCGAUGGCAGAUUAGGUAGUUGGUGGGAUAAAAGCUUACCAAGCCGACGAUCUGUAGCUGGUCUGAGAGGACGACCAGCCACACUGGGACUGAGACGCGGCCCAGACUCCUACGGGAGGCAGCAGUGGGGAAUUUUGGACAAUGGGCGAAAGCCUGAUCCAGCCAUGCCGCGUGCAGGAUGAAGGCCUUCGGGUUGUAAACUGCUUUUGUACGGAACGAAAAGACUCUGGUUAAUACCUGGGGUCCAUGACGGUACCGUAAGAAUAAGCACCGGCUAACUACGUGCCAGCAGCCGCGGUAAUACGUAGGGUGCAAGCGUUAAUCGGAAUUACUGGGCGUAAAGCGUGCGCAGGCGGUUAUAUAAGACAGAUGUGAAAUCCCCGGGCUCAACCUGGGAACUGCAUUUGUGACUGUAUAGCUAGAGUACGGCAGAGGGGGAUGGAAUUCCGCGUGUAGCAGUGAAAUGCGUAGAUAUGCGGAGGAACACCGAUGGCGAAGGCAAUCCCCUGGGCCUGUACUGACGCUCAUGCACGAAAGCGUGGGGAGCAAACAGGAUUAGAUACCCUGGUAGUCCAA
This 793-nucleotide ribosomal RNA is filed under the name uncultured bacterium. RNAcentral's name for it is "bacterial SSU rRNA". It matches the Rfam family "Bacterial small subunit ribosomal RNA", at positions 8 to 798 of the family's 1533-position model. The record is from RNAcentral.